Molecule: ribosomal RNA, 412 nt
Filed under: uncultured bacterium
Lineage: Bacteria
Description: bacterial SSU rRNA
Rfam family: Bacterial small subunit ribosomal RNA
Source: RNAcentral
AUUGAACGCUGGCGGCAUGCCUUACACAUGCAAGUCGAACGGCAGCGGACCUUCGGGUGCCGGCGAGUGGCGAACGGGUGAGUAAUAUAUCGGAACGUACCUUUCAGUGGGGGAUAACGUAGCGAAAGUUACGCUAAUACCGCAUAUUCUGUGAGCAGGAAAGCAGGGGAUCGCAAGACCUUGCGCUGAUUGAGCGGCCGAUAUCAGAUUAGCUAGUUGGUGAGGUAAAGGCUCACCAAGGCGACGAUCUGUAGCGGGUCUGAGAGGAUGAUCCGCCACACUGGAACUGAGACACGGUCCAGACUCCUACGGGAGGCAGCAGUGGGGAAUUUUGGACAAUGGGCGCAAGCCUGAUCCAGCCAUGCCGCGUGAGUGAAGAAGGCCUGGUUGUAAGACGUCUUUCGGUCCGGGA